AUGGCUUCAGAUCUAGUGAACAUUAAGGCUAUCGAGUGCCUUAGUUGUUGUGACUUCUUCUUCAAUGGAUACUACGAAGGUCGACAUUAUGAUAAUGGUUGGCCAGAGAUGCUCAAACUGAAGGACUGGCCUACUUCGAAUCAAUUUGAAGAGCUUUUACGAAACCAUGGAGAAAUGUAUACAAUUUCAUUACCUCUCCAACCAUACACCAACCCGAAUUUUGGCUUCUUUAAUAUUUCAACUUUCCUUACUAACGACCUGCAGGUUGAUUUGGGCCCAAAAUCAUACAUAGCAUACGGUAUUUCAGAAGAGCUUGAACGAGGAGAUUCUGUUACCAAGCUUCAUUGCGACAUGACUGAUGCGGUAAGUGAGAUAGAUAAGUGUACGACUAUAACCCUGGAGGGUAAAGAGGGUGCUCUCUGGGAUAUAUUCAGAAGAGAGGAUGUCCCACGAUUGAAAGAAUAUUUGAGAGAGCACUCCAAAGAAUUUCGUCAUGUACAUUGUUCUCAAGUUAAAAAGGUGUAUAACCCAGUGCACGACGAAACAUUUUACCUAACACAACAGCACACGAGAAAGCUUAAAGUUGAUUAUGGUGAGUUGUAG
This 603-nucleotide ribosomal RNA is filed under the name Triticum aestivum (bread wheat). RNAcentral describes it as "partial small subunit ribosomal RNA". The record is from RNAcentral. Lineage: Eukaryota; Viridiplantae; Streptophyta; Magnoliopsida; Poales; Poaceae.